This is a long non-coding RNA of Papilio polytes (common Mormon), 290 nucleotides long. RefSeq lists it as uncharacterized. The record is from RefSeq and is a predicted model, not a curated record. Lineage: Eukaryota; Metazoa; Arthropoda; Insecta; Lepidoptera; Papilionidae. The transcript has 3 exons.
CGCCGCGUGCACGCCCUCAUCUCCUACGUCAGCCGGCAAUUCCCCGACGUCGAGGUCAGCCGCAUCAAGCAGGUCCUCGCCUACAAGUGCAAGGAGAACUGCGCAGCGCUUCGCAUGAGGACCGCCAGGCUGUCCAACAACUGUUUCAGUGAGUCGACCAACUACAUGCUGAGUGCGGCCGCGCGCCCGCCCUGCGCCGGCGACGACGCGCCCCCGCCCGGCCUCGGGGCCGCGCCCUCGUCUCUCGGCAGCGCCAGAUCAUCAUAUUCUAACUUUACGAGCGAGGCAUC